GGUACGGGAGAGGGUUGGAAGACCAAGAGUGAGAAAAACUCCUGGGUCAACAUAAAGAUAGCUGCUGCCCUCCCAGGGCUUCCUGCAGUUCUGGCUCCUCACUGGAGGCCAGCAGUGGCCACAUGCCACCUUCAGCAGGAUGUGCACUGAGGCCGAGAUGGCACGCCAGGAGAGAGAGGCAGCAAAGCUGGGCCUGAUGGCCAGGGGCCCUGCAGAACUCAUGGGCACCUCCCUCACGUGUGAGUGACUGUGCUUUCCCAAGGGGCCCUACUGCACAGGGCCUCACCCUUUCGGAAAUGUUAAUGGUCCCCAUGUGUCCCACAUGCCCCCUGACAUCCCCAGAGCAUUGGUCCUGACAGCUCGUGUCUGGAGUGUCUGCAGGGGAAGGAAAACUCAGAGGCGAAGGCUGGGAUGCAGCAGAACUUUAAUAUUCGAGUCAAAAGAGGGAAACGAGGUUGCUCCGAGAGAAUGCCCCAGUGCAGGAAGCACCAGGGGCAGACGAGAGCGUGUGCUCUGUGGCCACGGAGGGCAUCCCACCACCUGUCCAUCUACCCACUCCACUGAGGGAGAAGGGACAGAAGGUCCUCUCUAGGCUCAUGUGGUGGGACUCAGAGCUCAGUGGAGCUGCGGUGAGUAACAAGGACACAGGUGGGAAAGGAGAGACUGGAGGAG
Long non-coding RNA from Cygnus olor (mute swan), 672 nucleotides. RefSeq lists it as uncharacterized. NCBI's taxonomy places the organism in Eukaryota, Metazoa, Chordata, Aves, Anseriformes, Anatidae. The transcript is spliced from 2 exons. The record is from RefSeq and is a predicted model, not a curated record.